This 2262-nucleotide ribosomal RNA is filed under the name Triticum aestivum (bread wheat). Its description in RNAcentral is "partial small subunit ribosomal RNA". The record is from RNAcentral. Lineage: Eukaryota; Viridiplantae; Streptophyta; Magnoliopsida; Poales; Poaceae.
AUGGGCCACCACCAGACACUCAUGGAGGGAGAAGAUACAUGCCCAUAUGACGCCUUUUAUGCGAGCAAGGAAGCAGAAACGUGGAGAAGCAAUGCUCUGCUAACGGUGGAUGCUAUAUUGGUGGUAAUCAUGGUUGGAAUAGGUGCAUAUGGCCAUCACUAUCGCCACCGCCCCUUCACCCGCUUCCUCUAUGAUGGAGCCACGUCAUUGUUCCUACCAAUCAUGUCAUAUGUUGUCUCUGGUAUUGGUGGCACUUAUAUGACCGCCUUCACAAAUGCUCAUAGUGCAAUCCUAGUCGGGGAGUGUCAGGCAGCCUUUACCACACGCCUAGUCAUAGGAUGGGCUUGCCUUGUUCAAAUUGUUGCCAUAAACAUCAGCGUUGUAGUUGCCGGCGAUGAGAGAGAAGGCCGAAACACUGGCCCUUCAGUGGUUCUGCUUGUCCAAGCAAUGUGGACCUGUUACCUUGCGAUCUACUACGCAGGAUUAGAUAUAGAUACAUUUGGGUUUGUGUUCAAGACUUUUGCAGCCAGAAUGUCUUCAUUGUUGGGAUUUCUUUACCUUGGGACAUUUGUCAUCAUCUUCGCCAAAAUGACCUUCAAGUUCCAUGCGUUUUAUAAAGUUCGGAGAUCAAUUGCUCUUGGACUCAACCCCCGUCUUGUUGUUGGAUAUAUGGAGCAGCUGAAUAAUAGAAGUCAACCCAGUGAGCGUGCACCUCCUCCACUCCUGGUUAUGGGUGAGGAGACUUCCCGGGUAAAGAAGCAACCUCGUGGUUACUGCUUUGUACGCAUGUCCGAGGAAGCUAGGACAAACAACAUGCUAGUGACCAUCGACAAAAUUUGGCUAUUAGAGGACAUGCUUUUGGGGUCAUCAACACGACUCAAAGAUGUGUGCCUCUCCUUUACAUUGUUCAAGUUACUGCGAUGUAGAUUUGCAAGGUACACUAUUGCCGAGGCUGGUUUUCACAAGGUUAAUAACUUUUUCUGGCGAGUGUUGCUAAAGGAUGGUGACGACGAGAGGGUAUUCAGGGUCAUUGCGGACGAGCUUUCUUUUCUUUAUGAUUAUUACUAUUCAUCUCUCUCAAUCUCAUAUCCAAGUCGCCGGAUGUCCAUCUUGAGCAUCAUUAUCUCCCUCCUAAGCAUCGGUGGUUGUUUGUCUCUUAUGUUUGCACUGCGUGGUUACUGGUCGUAUGCGUCUCAGUUCGUGUGUGAGGUAAAUUGCCCUGCAACACACGAUAAGUUGGAGUACCUUGGUUUCGGGAAUUAUUAUAUUGAUCAUGUGCUAGUGCAUUUACUUGCUGCACUGGUAGUGCUUACUGAAGCAAGGGACAUCGCUUCUUACAUCUGCUCUAAUUGGACUAAAGUGGCCCUUAUCUGCGGCUACGUGAAGCAUGCUUCUUGGCAACAAUCACGUGCCUGGCGAGGAUGCGUCAGCCGUGUGUUGCAGUGCAGAUGCAAGCUGUUUAAGAUCUGGGAGGACAAAAUGAACCAGUGCUCAAUUCUCAUGCUCCGCCCAGCGAAAACACCUUUGGCUUUUCUUGGGCGUCUCAUCAAUACACCGCAACGAAAGAAGAAGAUACCAAGAGCGGUGAAGGCCUCUAUCAUCAACGCACUCAGAAGCUACGAGGAGAGUCGCCGAACCAAUGGCAUGGCAUCUAUGCCUAGGAGCUUGCAAGUUGGUGAGGAGCUCUGCUGGAUGUUCGAUGAUGAAGGUACAUGCGAUACUAUGCUUGUGUGCCACAUCGCUACGAGCAUCCUAGAAGUGAGAUCACACCAACACCAGCCUUUUUCGAACCAUAGGAUUACUGCCACUCACUUAUCACGAUAUUGUGCAUAUUUGGUGGCAUACUCACCUGAGCUGCUCCCUGACGACGAUGCUUGGUGCAAGAGCUUGUACGAGGCCGUCAAGAAGGACGCUGACCGUGCCCUCGCCGGUGGCAUUCGGGCGUCAACGCCUGAAGCAGAGUACCACCAGUUGGUCGAGCUGCUCAGUACAAGGCCAAUGCAUGAGGUGCUUCAGAAGGGUGUGGAGCUUGGGAAGCGUUUGGCGGGGAUGAUUGAAAGAGAGGAUACAAUUUGGGAGGUUCUUGCGGGCUUUUGGUCAGAGAUGAUCCUCUAUGUUGCUCCGUCGGAGAACAUCAAUGGGCACGCGGAGGCCAUUGCCCGGGGUGGUGAGCUAAUAACGCUCCUCUGGGCACUGCUCGCGCAUGUCGGUAUCGUCGGCAGGUCCCACAAUGCCCCGGUCAGUGCUUCUGAUGUUGUCUAA